GCUAACGACGUGCCGGCAGCCGCGGUAAAACGGAGGAGGCAAGCGUUAUCCGGAUUCACUGGGCGUAAAGCGCGUGCAGGCGGGUCGGGAAGUUGGGCGUGAAAUCUCCCGGCUCAACUGGGAGAGGUCGUUCAAUACUACCGGGCUAGAGAGCAGUAGAGGAAGAUGGAAUUCCCGGUGUAGUGGUGAAAUGCGUAGAUAUCGGGAGGAACACCAGUGGCGAAGGCGAUCUUCUGGACUGUUUCUGACGCUCAGACGCGAAAGCUAGGGUAGUAAACGGGAUUAGAUACCCCGGUAGUC
Molecule: ribosomal RNA, 300 nt
Filed under: uncultured Lactobacillus sp.
Lineage: Bacteria; Bacillati; Bacillota; Bacilli; Lactobacillales; Lactobacillaceae
Description: bacterial SSU rRNA
Rfam family: Bacterial small subunit ribosomal RNA
Source: RNAcentral